CACCCUAUAAUACACAAAUGCUCCACCAGCAAGUUCAAAGUGGUUGCUAUUCCUGCUCAGCUGGCCCAAUCCACAUAAUGUCAUUGAUAUAAAGGGCCAGUGUGACAUCAUGUGGGAGAGAAAGUUGAUCAAGGUCCCUGUGAACUAAGCUGUGUCACAGUGCUGGAGAGUUGACAUUCCCUGAGGAGGACACUGAAGGUACAUUUCUGGCUUUGCCAGCUGAAGACAAAUUGUUUCUGGUGGUUCUUUUGCACUGGGAUGGAAACAGAAGCAUUUUCCCAAUCAAUAGCCACAUACCAGGUACCAGGAGAUGUAUUGAUCUGCUCAAGCAAAGAAACCACAUCUGGUCCAGCAGGUGCAAUUGGAGUCACCACCUGAUUAAGCUUACGAUAAUCAACUGUCAUUCUCCAGCUGUCUUCAGCACAGGCCAAAUAGGAGAUCCAGUUCUGGUGAAGUGCACAUCUUCUGGACCCCCACAGUAUGGAGGAGAAGGUCACACCUGACAGAUCCACUCCUGCAUUCCAAUUUUCCUGAGCCUCUGAAUUGCCUCAUCAACAAUAAAUCAAGGGUUGUCCAGCAUUUCAGCUCAUUUAUAGUGGGCCAUCUUUGGGCUCAUACUUCAGCUAAAACUUUUUAAACACUGUGAGCUAUUACAUUAAAUCUAGUAUCUCUUCUUAUGGGCCAGUAUCAAUAAAUCCUGCAUGAUAUAA
This is a non-coding RNA of Ictidomys tridecemlineatus (thirteen-lined ground squirrel), 710 nucleotides long. NCBI's taxonomy places the organism in Eukaryota, Metazoa, Chordata, Mammalia, Rodentia, Sciuridae. The record is from RefSeq and is a predicted model, not a curated record.